This 475-nucleotide ribosomal RNA is filed under the name uncultured bacterium. Its description in RNAcentral is "partial 16S ribosomal RNA". It matches the Rfam family "Bacterial small subunit ribosomal RNA", at positions 28 to 507 of the family's 1533-position model. The record is from RNAcentral.
GAUGAACGCUAGCGGCGGGCUUAACACAUGCAAGUCGAGGGAUAAGCCUUCGGGCUAGGGCCGGCCCACGGGUGCGUACCGCGUAUACACUCUGCCUUUUACCCGGGUGGUAGCCCGAAGAAAUUUAGGUUAAUACCCUAUGUAAUAAGAGCACGGCAUCGUUCACUUAUUAAAGCUACGACGGUAAAACGUGAGGAUGCGUUCUAUUAGCUAGUCGGAGAGGUAACGGCUCCCCAAGGUGCCGAUAGUUAGGGGUUCUGAGAGUGAUGUCCCCGAGAGGGGUACUGACAUACGGGCCAGACUGCUACGGGAGGCAGCAGUGAGGAAUAUUGGACAAUGGUCUGUAGAAUGAUGCAGCCAUGCCGCGUGCAGCAUCACGGCGUUAGGGGUUGUAACCUGCUUUUGUAAGGGAAGAAUAAGCAGUAACUGUACGUUGAUGACGGUACCUGAUGAAUAAGCACCGGCUAACUCCGUG